Oxyura jamaicensis (ruddy duck) is the source of this 2611-nucleotide long non-coding RNA. RefSeq lists it as uncharacterized. Lineage: Eukaryota; Metazoa; Chordata; Aves; Anseriformes; Anatidae. The transcript has 2 exons. The record is from RefSeq and is a predicted model, not a curated record.
UGACCCCAAAGCCCUACUUUCACAGACUAAAAGAAAUCAUUUAGAACUGGUUUCAUGUUGAAUCCCACAUGUGGCCUGUAAUGCCUUCACAUGAACGUGUCUCUCACAGGCUCCCUGCAGGAUGGGGUGGUCCUUUUUUAAGUCCUCUUUUAAAGAAGGGCAUCUAUAUAUGGAGAAAGUCAUUGCAUGGCUACUGGGAGAUGAGAGAAGCAGACAACAAAUUUUAUCCGUUCCCAAGUGAUGAAGGUUUCAAGAAAUUCCAGAAGUUAAAUUCUUCCAACUUUAUGAAAGGUAAAAUUCAUUUGUUAUUGAGAAGCUUUUGAUAUUGAUAAGUGUGUGUAAUAGUUCCAAUUCCUGAAUUGAAGUGAAUGGAUGAAAAAUUCUCAAUUCAUAAAAUUCAUAAAUUACUGUUGCUUGUUGUAACUGUAAGGAAAAAAGCACUUUACACAUCUCCGUGCAAGGUGUGGGAAUUUUCUUUACCGAAGCUGUGCAUUUAAGUAGAUAGAACAUGGUGAGUUGCAUCUGAGCUGAAACUUGAUGAAGUUGUGAUGGUGUUUAUAAUGAAUGGAAAGACAUAAGCAUAGAUCAAUCUGCUCUGUGUGGUCUGAACAGCUCUCUAGCUUAUUUUGCUACCAUCUUGACCAAGGGAUUACAGCAGUGAGCCUUCUAAAUUAAAUGACAAUUUUGGGGUAAAGACUAUCCCUAGUAACACCUGUGGUUACUUAAGAAGGAGGUUUGAUUCGUAUGCUGAGAUGAGGUCAGCACUUUUUAAGCUGUUUGUUCUCUCCUGAACUCUGCAGUGAGAAAAAGAGUAAGGUAUGAAAAACUCUAGACUAUGAAUUUGGAAUUUGUUUCAGGCUGAGAUCAAAAACACUGGUUAAUGAACAAAAUUAAAAUGAUCACCUUAUGGGAUUUUAAUUAUCUUGCAUACUUAAUUUCUUACAACUUAAUUUUCUGUUCUUUCUUACUAUUUACUGUGCGUUGUUUUGUGAUGUGGUAUGUAUUUCAUUGUAGUAUGGUGAACUGGUACUGUUACGCGUCAGUGGUAGAGAAAUCAAGCAUGAAUUUCCUUAUGCAAAAUGACCAACAACUUGUGGGAUGUAUUCCAGUUCCUCUGUCCCCUCCUGAAGGGGCAUAAGGUCUCCUCAGUUUGAUGGGUUGGAUAAAGAGAGAGAUUAAGUUGAUUAGGAAGUAAUGACUGAAGGAAAAAUGUAUUAAGCUAUUUUCAUAUUCAGAACAGGAUCAUUAUAACCAGAACCUCAGGAGCCAUUAUUUUAAGCAUUAGUGUAUAAUGUGGUACACUACAUUAAGUUUUAUGUACAGCAGUUGGAACCUCAAGAUGACUACUGUAAACUUUUCAUCAGUGCUAGUUUUCACAAUGACAUUUUAUCUUCAUUAGGUGAUACUCUGAAAUGGUUCUAAGUAUACCAAUAUGGUUUCUUUGUUAGUGUAAACCAGACUGCAUAGAUGUUAAUGGAGCCAUUCACAUUUAUUGGUAUAAAUUAGUUUCAUUAUGUUCUCACAUCAUAAAUCAUAAUGGACAUCAGGAAAGUCAUCUGGCAACACUGGUGUAAAAACAAUAAAAAUGGGGAAUGAAUUGACCCAAACUACUCAAUGUUUAAUUGCAUAAAUGUGUUUGAAGCAUGCGUGUGCAUUUGUAUUUCCCAAGCUGUCUUUCAUGAUAUGAAUCAUCAAACAGACAAGAACAGGGACAGAAAAAGUAAUUUUUUCCUUACAAGAAAAAGGCAGUGCUCACCAUGCCCAUUCAUUCAAGUGUCUUUUCUUUUCUGGUUCUUGAGUUUGUCGUCUAUGUGAAACUUGGAUGUAAUGACAUUAGUCUCCUGUACAUGCACAUGUUUUGUUUUGCUUUUUUUUUUUUUUUUUUUUUUGUCUGUAAUGUGUACUGAUAGCUCAGUGAAACGACUAUUGAUUGAGAAAUUACAAUGAACUGAAAUGGUUGCUUCUAGCUUGACCUUGUCAUGACAUCUGCUCAAAAUAGUAAGAUAACUAUUACUUGUGUAGAUUGAGAAGCAAUAUUUAGGUUCAUCAUUCUAAUGAAGUCACUAGACAGGAAAGGCUGUUCUAAGUUAAAUCUAGAACCCCGAUUGUUACUAACAUCCACAUUAAAUAUUUUUGCUAUAAAUAAUUCACAGGUAAAUGACAGCUAUUCAGGCAAGCCUGAACACACGUUUUAUAGUGAAUAAACAUUGAAUACAUCUAGCAUCUGGUGCUCCAUUUUUACCUCUCAAAUCCAUACCAUGUUUAAACCUUUUUCAUGCUGUAUUUUGAUUCAUUAUUCCAUAUAGAUAUAAAAAGCUGCACUUACGUAUAAAAAAGAUUUUGUGCUCAUCAAGAGAAUUUGAAAGGACAAUUUCUACAGAGUACAGAAACUUGAGGUAGCAGAAAGUACUUAAUCAUGGCAAUGGCUUCUUCAGGUGAUUUUUCUUUGUGACAAACCAAAUAUGUAUUGUAUUAUUUGUGGAUCAGUAUAUAUAAUGUCAGCACACAUUCCUGUUUAUUGACUCAUUUUAUCAUGCUGAACUGUCAUAAGCUCCUUAUUAAUCUGUCUCUGAAGGAUCAAAAUGCUUUAAUAAACAUGUUAGUUCCUUUA